RNAcentral lists this ribosomal RNA (340 nucleotides) under uncultured Thermus sp. Its description in RNAcentral is "bacterial SSU rRNA". It matches the Rfam family "Bacterial small subunit ribosomal RNA", at positions 1042 to 1382 of the family's 1533-position model. Lineage: Bacteria; Thermotogati; Deinococcota; Deinococci; Thermales; Thermaceae. The record is from RNAcentral.
UGCAUGGCCGUCGUCAGCUCGUGCCGUGAGGUGUUGGGUUAAGUCCCGCAACGAGCGCAACCCCCGCCGUUAGUUGCCAGCGGUUCGGCCGGGCACUCUAACGGGACUGCCCGCGAAAGCGGGAGGAAGGAGGGGACGACGUCUGGUCAGCAUGGCCCUUACGGCCUGGGCGACACACGUGCUACAAUGCCCACUACAAAGCGAUGCCACCCGGCAACGGGGAGCUAAUCGCAAAAAGGUGGGCCCAGUUCGGAUUGGGGUCUGCAACCCGACCCCAUGAAGCCGGAAUCGCUAGUAAUCGCGGAUCAGCCAUGCCGCGGUGAAUACGUUCCCGGGCCUU